Molecule: long non-coding RNA, 614 nt
Organism: Triplophysa rosa
Lineage: Eukaryota; Metazoa; Chordata; Actinopteri; Cypriniformes; Nemacheilidae
Exons: 3
Source: RefSeq, a predicted model, not a curated record
GCUAAGGAUGCAGCUGGUUCGGUUGUAUUAACUAAGCGCCAAAGCUUUUUUUAUUAUUAAAGCGUCAAAGCUAAGCGGUGUCAAGACGCGAUGAGCAUGAUUAUGCAGGUUACACGCUGCACUAGCAGACAAGCGGUCAUGAAACAGGUGGGGAGGUGGAGAGAGCUGUCAUGAUAAAGACCCCUGUAGUUUUCUGGUGACCUGUCGGAAGAAAAUGUGGAAUUGUAAAUACUGCAUUUUUAGGUCUGAGAAAACGAGAAAUUCUUAGACAUUAUUGUCUAAAGCAUAGAGGCAAUACAAAGAUUGUCCCUCUUCCCUGUCCACACCAGGACUGUCUUUGCACAUUUCAAUCAAUUAGUAAUUUGCAAGUGCAUCUUUCUAGAAUUGUUAAAACGUAUCUGAAAAUGAGUUUGUGAGCUUACUGUUUUUAAGCUUUGCUUCUGUUAGUGACAAACAUGUCUUUUGUUGUUUCUUACAGUCUGCUUUUAAAUGUCAUAUGGCCAAUGUCACUUUUAAGUGGCUGAUUUCUGAAGAAAUCCUUCAUCAAUUAUUUGAUCUUAAUCAAAGUAUUGAUAUAUACUGUAAGUUUGACACUAAUAAAGCUGUUGAUGUGA